AUUGAACGCUGGCGGCAGGCCUAACACAUGCAAGUCGAACGGUAACAGGGAUCAGCUUGCUGAUUCGCUGACGAGUGGCGGACGGGUGAGUAAUGUCUGGGAAACUGCCUGAUGGAGGGGGAUAACUACUGGAAACGGUAGCUAAUACCGCAUAACGUCGCAAGACCAAAGAGGGGGACCUUCGGGCCUCUUGCCAUCGGAUGUGCCCAGAUGGGAUAGCUAGUAGGUGGGGUAACGGCUCACCUAGGCGACGAUCCCUAGCUGGUCUGAGAGGAUGACCAGCCACACUGGAACUGAGACACGGUCCAGACUCCUACGGGAGGCAGCAGUGGGGAAUAUUGCACAAUGGGCGCAAGCCUGAUGCAGCCAUGCCGCGUGUAUGAAGAAGGCCUUCGGGUUGUAAAGUACUUUCAGCGGGGAGGAAGGGAGUAAAGUUAAUACCUUUGCUCAUUGACGUUACCCGCAGAAGAAGCACCGGCUAACUCCGUG
RNAcentral lists this ribosomal RNA (489 nucleotides) under uncultured bacterium. RNAcentral's name for it is "partial 16S ribosomal RNA". It matches the Rfam family "Bacterial small subunit ribosomal RNA", at positions 30 to 507 of the family's 1533-position model. The record is from RNAcentral.